This 21-nucleotide non-coding RNA is filed under the name Caenorhabditis elegans. The record is from RNAcentral. Lineage: Eukaryota; Metazoa; Nematoda; Chromadorea; Rhabditida; Rhabditidae.
UGGAGUUCAAUUUCUAAGAAA